Molecule: non-coding RNA, 4888 nt
Organism: Taeniopygia guttata (zebra finch)
Lineage: Eukaryota; Metazoa; Chordata; Aves; Passeriformes; Estrildidae
Source: RefSeq, a predicted model, not a curated record
GCGCUUCUGGGCACAUUAGUAUAGAUUUAGACCUCGAUUUAUCCCAAGGAGUAGAUGCCAGGAAAUUCUUUCUGGAACCUCGUGAUAUUUGUGGCUUUUCAGAGCUAAGGAGAAGUGAAGUUCGAAGUGCUGACAGCAUUGCCUCACCAUCCAUCUCGGGCACAACCCCUUCAAGUUUCCUACCUAUAUCAGCCAAAUAGAGUGAUUCAAAUCAAGGUUUUGGCUGGAAAAUCUCAGAAAUGCAAAUUAUCUCAGCCUUCUGCUUCUUCCAGUGUGUCUUUAUGGGUCCAAGUCAGUCUCCACCCUGCAGAAAUACAGACAUUUCUGUGUGACUCCACGUGCAUGACUGGUCACUAUAAAGCAAAUAAGCGACACUCGUGGAUGUUGGAUCGUGUGUCAUCUUGUUGGAUGUGCCUCCAGAUUUGCUGAGAAUGUCACCAUGAAUGUCCAUUGGCAAACUGGAUAAGAAAGAGUGUCACAGUGCAGGACAACCUAGAAGAUGACAGGUAUUUCCAGGCAUAGCAAUGAUGAGAUCAAAUUCCCCUCAACCUGCCUUGUUUGCUGAUCUUUUAAUCAGAUUCAACUUCACUGCAGCUACAGCACAAGGUUCCCUGACAAUGUAUGACAGCAUGUGACAGAAAAAUAUUUUGAUUUUUUUUUUCUUUUUUAGUCAUUUGAUGCUAUUUGAGAUAAAUCUGAAGCCCCAGCAGCAGCUGAUAAAUCUACCAAACUACUUUAGUGGAGGUUUUUAACUAUUCAGAAUUGAACUGGGGGGUCUGGGGUGUGUGUUCGUGUGUUUGUAGUGGAAUCCAAACAGGAAAGCUGGGAAAUGAUCUAAACCCUUUGAGGUUAACCUGCCAUGAAAAAGCAUCAAUGACAGAAGAGGACAUUAUUAAAAAGGAGCCAACCUUGCUCAAAAAGAACCACUUUAUGAAGCCAGAGCCCAAAGAACAACACCCAGGGCUGUUUGUGUCCCCACAGGGAUAUGUAUUUCAUACCCCAUCUUCAUCUCUCCAAAUUUCCUCUGAACAGCUUCUGAGCUGAAUUCUUGAGAAAGAAAAACACCAGCAAAUUUUGAAUGGACUUAUCAGCCUUUUCCCUACAAUCUGCUUCAUAUUCCUCUCACACCCAUGUUCUUGCAGUGUCUUGGGGAAAUGCUUGGAUCACAGAUAAGAGAGAACAAGGAAAGGAAUGAAGCAAGAAACAAACAACAAAACAAAACCAGCACCCCCCAAACUUUUUGAUGAAACUCCUCUGCGAAUUGUGUGUAUGGUUACAGCAAAGUUAAAACUGCCUUCUUCUCCUUCACCAGUACUUAAUUCCUGCUUUUAAAAUCAGGUUCCCUUUGAUCUUGAGGGUUGAAAUGAUCUGGAAAUGAAACAGCCAGUGCUUUGCAGAAAAUCUGGAGAGGGUCCCAGACAUGGCUUUUACCUGGAAGGCUUCCAAAACAGGAUGAAAUCUCUCUGGUUUCAGAACAAAUUGCAAGAUUUUUUCUCUAUGUCUAGUCCAACUGUGGAACUCUAGCCCUGAUGUCUGUUGCUUCCCAAAGCACAGAUGUAAUAACCUCUGAGGUGAAAUGAGAACGUUAUUCCCCCAUCUUCUCCCCUCUGCCUCCCCUCUGAGGGUUGAGGGCUGAGAAUUUUAUUAAAGUGAAGGCUUAAAGUUUUGGGCAGACUUAAUUUGAGGAGACAGUUGGUUAUAACCCAGGCUAGGGCCAUCCAUGUGAAGGUUGGAGGGGACAGAGCACCAGGAGCAUCUGUGACAUCUGGAUCCUGUUGAAAGCUCAGAAAUAUCUGCCUGGCUUCACGUCACCUGGCCCCAGAGCCAAAAGGGCUGAGAAAUGUGGUUAAGAGAUUGCAGCAAACUCUGCCCUAGCAAAUGAGUCCCACUGAGAAAGCAAGCACAUCAAUAUUUUUUUGAGUCUGGUUCUUUUAGUGCAUAUAUUUCCAUAUGUUGUAUUAAUAUUUUUUUAUUGGGGCAUAUAAGUCCAUCUGGUAUUUGUAUUGGGAGGGUUUAAGCUGGCAGAUCGCUGCACUGCUGUUACACAUAGAUCUGGACAGCCCUUGCAAGGGUGGGUGGUUGGAUAGGGACAUCUCCUCAGCUGCCUUUUUAAUUGGAUGAACUUCUCAAAUCAAUAAAGAUAACCUGGUUACUUAUGUCAAUUAGCUCCCACUGUGCCAAUGUUACAAUGUAAGUAUGGGCUGAGUAUAAGGUGUAGCAGUUCACAGUAAAAAAAACCUCUCAGACACUGUAACAAUCCUGACCCAGGUGGUGCAAAGGAGGAAAGAUACCUGGGCAUCAAUAUUAAACAAAAAACGCGCUGAAAUAUCACAGUUUGCCAAGACAAUAAGAAUCACUUUCCUUUGCAUGUAUUAUUAAGGAAUUGGGGAAUAAUUAUCUGCUUUAAUACAAGCUUUUUCCUUCUGCAUGAUUAACUUCAGCGAUAUCAACAGAGAGCGUGAUGCCUCUGAAAUGACAGCUCCUGGUAGCACGUUCUGGGAUUAGCAAAAACAGGUUGUCACUUCACCCCAGCCAGGAUCAGGCAGUCGCUGUGUGCCGAGUGCUGGACAGCAGAGCCACGUUCUGCACCAGACAUCUGACAGCCCCAGCGGGCAGCAGGGCCAACCUCCUGCCAGGUGGCUCCAGGUCGGGCACGCAGGGCUCUGCUCCACCAGGAGAUUGGAUUUCCUCAGGCAGCACCGCGGGAUUUUGGCUGUGCAGCUUCCAGACGGAAAGAAAUGCUCCUCGUGCUAAGCUGUGAGGUGCUCUGUUCUUUGCACAAGGCGCCGAGCUGAUUUUAAAAUAGUGUGUACUUUUAAAAUGCCUGCCUCUAAUGCCAGUCCUGUGUCUGGCUGCUCGAUGUGCAGAGUGACAGCGCACGCACCAGCCCCUGGAGGGGAUGGAGAGAGAGGUAGGACAAACACGCCAGAGCUCUGAGCAAUGGCAUGAAACAACAACAACAAAAAAAUCCUUUCAUUCUUACUAAAGUUGUGAAAAGUCUGUCGUGGCUCCUGUAGAAAUUAAUCAAUAUAUGGAAAACUGCAUAAUAAGUGUGGAGGCAGCAAGGAUCUCUCCAUAAAUUAAAAUAUUGUGAGCUUCUAGAGCUAACUGGGAAAAGCACUGGGGUUACUAGCAGGGCUUUGGAGCCAAGGCAGCGUCCAUGGAAUUGGAUCCUUCACUAGAGUCCAUAUUUUGUCAAUGUCAGGAUACAUAAGAACUGUGAAACAAAGCAAAUUGUAUGUAUGGAAGGAAACUAGAAAUUUAGUCCCGCAUCAUAUUCCUUUGAAAAAUUAAUAAUAAUUAAAAAAAAGAUUAAAUGUCCAUAUAUUUUUUAAGAGAAAUAGGAGGUGCAAAGAUUAAUUCUCCAAAUCUGUGAAAUAUACAGUGAUGAGUUACCGAGGGUUGCAGUGAGGGGGGUGUUUUUGUAAUUCUGUAGGCAUCUCAGUCCUCUGGUGAAAUGAUGUAUGGGGCAAUCGUCUGGUAGGGGCUGAUGGGAUGUAAAUGAAACUAAUUAAGGAAAUGUCAAACAUAAUUAAUAAAACAGGUUUAAGUUGCAAAAGCACUGUCAGCUGAAUGAAUGGGGAAGAAUGCCUCAUUCCCAUUGUUUUGGGUCUUGCUUGCUUAUUUAUAUAUUUCUUUAUUUAUUCCUUGCUCAGCCCUUCGCCCUCCCAGCAGCUUUUUCAGUUGCACCAUUCAAUUAGAUCUCAGAAAGCUCUUGGUAGCCUCUUGCAUUUUCACCUUGCCCCCCUUGCGAGCUGGGGUCCCAUAGAAUAGGAGGAAUAUAAAUUUGCCUUGUCGGCUUGCAGCCUGGGAAGAAGAAGGAAAAAAAAUUAAUUGCUAACUCCUCGUCUUCCCCAAGUACUACAGGACAUUAACAUAACCAAUUUGCUUGAACUCCUCACUGGCUGCUUAAUAGAGCAUCUGACCAGCUGAUAAGACCUGGGUGCUGCUGCCUAUGAUACCUUGUUAUUAGCAUUUUCAUAAUAUUCAAAUUUACAGCCCCAUGAUUCACUAGCCUCCAUUCAUUAUUGAUAAGUACAAAAAAUAAAUAAAAAAGGUUUAUAAAUAGCAAAGGGGGGUGAGCGACCUAUAAUUAUGGCAAGCAAAUUAGGGUGCAUGGUAGAGUCAGUUACAUUUGCCUAGGAGUAAUGAUGCUCAAGAACUUUUUCUCCCCAGGGACCAGAAAAAUAAUGGAUUCCCUGGCAGCUGCAGAUGGGCCAGGAAAGGCUGUCACCCAGGACGCUGUUUAUAUAAGUUAGGCAGAGCAUAUGGCUCUGUGUCCUGCCUGUAGCCACCUCCAGAUAUUGCAGUUUCAAUGGAAAGAAAUAAAUACAUAAAUAAAAAUAGCCCCUCACUGGAAGGUGGUGGUGCGGGGAUAUGAGAAGGAGGAGGAGAGUGGAGGGGAGAAAAAAGCAAACAACCAAAGGGAGCCUGCUCAGAAGUUUCUGUCGAGAGCAAGCCCAGCAGCUCAGGGAUCAAGUAGGGGUCUUAAAGCCUUAAAGCCAGAGGCUGUUUAGCUGCAUCACUGAAGAGAGAAAGAUGAAAUGUGAUUUCUGCUAAAGCAAAACCUUUCCAUGUUGCAGUCCAAGGCAGUCAAAUACAAAAGCUUUGAGCCUGAGAUGAUAAAAAUCAUGAUCCCAGUUGAAAGUAGGAGCUACUAGAAAUAACCACUGGAUACUUUAUAAUUUAAACCCUGUGGUUCUAUUUCCAUUAAUCCAUUCAAAGGCCUUUUUUCUUUACUAAUGAAACUAGACUGAAACACAAAAGGGAGGCUGACCUGUUAGCAGGUGACUGUUUCUUGUAAGUUAUUCAUUAAAAACACCCUAAUGCUCUGGUGCUAAAGGAGGCUGUACCUACUUCUGUAUAAAUUAAACAUAAGUGAGUUGGU